Salmo salar (Atlantic salmon) is the source of this 1982-nucleotide RNA transcript. It is a transcript of the gene named MOB kinase activator 3C, with no coding region annotated. NCBI's taxonomy places the organism in Eukaryota, Metazoa, Chordata, Actinopteri, Salmoniformes, Salmonidae. The record is from RefSeq and is a predicted model, not a curated record.
GAGAGGGAACCUCCUCUGUCGAUUUAUAGGUCUUCCAUGCACACAUACACACACGUAGAUAGACACACGGAGACAGCAGGGGCCUCUCAGACAAAGUCAGGAUGUGACAUCACUCACAGGAAGAGAAGCCAAACAACUUUUCGACUUGUACUUUUUUUUGUCCGCGCUACUGUGUCGCUGGCUUCUCAGUGAAGUUGGAGCCUCAAGGUCUGUUGGUGGCUGGGAAGGAGGGAGUAUCCGUAGGAACCGGAGAGGGACAGAUCUGCCUGGAUCUUUGUCCACAUUCCAAGUCGUCCACAUUGGGAGCCCAGCCAGAGAGGGGUCCCUCCAUUCUCAAUCAUCCCCAAUGUAGAGGUCACUGCCCUCUGAAUAGAACAACUCUUCAGAGACCUGCAACCUAAUCAAACGUAUGUUAGUGAAACCUGUCCAAUCCAUGCUCAGGAACCCCCCCCCCAACACACACACUAACCAUUAGGCCACACCAUAGAGUCCACCAUUAAGACAAUGGCGCUCUGUCUCGGACAAGUCUUCAGCAAAGACAAAACGUUUAGGCCUCGGAAGCGCUUUGAGCCUGGGACACAGCGCUUUGAGCUGUACAAGAAGGCCCAGGCCUCUCUGAAGUCCGGCCUGGACCUGAGGAAAGUGGUCCAGCUUCCCGAAGGAGAGAACAUCAACGACUGGAUCGCCGUGCACGUGGUGGACUUCUUCAACCGCAUCAACCUGAUCUACGGCACGGUCAGCGAGUUCUGCACCGAGCGCACCUGCCCCAUCAUGUCCGGGGGCCUGCGCUACGAGUACCGGUGGCAGGACGGAGACGACUACAAGAAGCCCACCAAGCUGCCCGCCUUGAAAUACAUGAACCUUCUGAUGGACUGGAUAGAGACCAACAUCAACAACGAGAACAUCUUCCCCACGAGAGUGUUCCUUUCCCUAAGAACUUCCAACAGGUGUGCAAGAAGAUCCUGAGCCGUCUCUUCCGGGUCUUUGUGCACGUCUACAUCCACCACUUUGACAGCAUCUGCAGUAUGGGCGCCGAGGCCCAUAUCAAUACCUGCUACAAACACUACUAUUAUUUCAUCUCUGAGUUCAGCCUCAUCGAGCACUCUGAACUGGAGCCCCUGAGAGCAAUGACAGAGAAGAUCUGUAACUAAACCACUUGGACAAUGGAGUGUACAUCAUUUCAAAAUUCCACGGAGCCCUUCAGGAGGCCCACUGCUUAAAUACCAUUCCAAACACGCAAACCAAAGGACAGUUGAGUGGAUUUUGAGUGGAUUUGAUGAACUUAACUGUUAUCCAUCUAGCAUUAGAAUGUUUAUUCACAUUUUCAGCCAAUAGGCUAUAUGUUUUUAGGAAAAAGGACUGUUCUGCUUCCUAGAUUUUGUGCUGUGACAUGCAGCAUUUCAGUAUUGUGUUUUUUAUUUGAAUAACUAUUCUUUCUCUGUUUUAUUAAGCAUGAAUAUGUUUUUCUUGUGCAUGUUCUUGACAUCAUUAACUUCCAAAAUGUGUUUGCGGUUUCGAGGUGUUUGAGCCAUUUUGUGAUGGACAGAAGGCGACAUCACAAGACCACUUUACAGUAUUUAGCAUUUUGUGACAAAUACGUGUCCAAUGUGUCCCAGCCAGAGGCAACAGAGUUAAGGACUUUGAAAAACAGACAUUUUUUGAGGUGUCUGGGUAAGUACAGGGUGACAACUGGAAGCAAUACUUGUGAAAUACUGACUUCAUUUUCAUUUACCAAAACUAGUUAAACUGGGAUUACUCUGGGAGACUAAUCUGAUUGAGCUGUGUAACUGAUUCAAUUGCCAUGUGUUAGGACAAGUAAAUUCACCCACUACAAUUAGUGUUUUGUUGCAUGCCCUGUUAAUUUGCAUUUUAUUAUUAAGGAAAUGUUUUAGCUGUGAUCAAACUAAAUAUCAGACCUAGGAUAUUUUCAUUCAGAUGGUGACCAAUUAAAACCUGCCUCAUUGCUUUUGUAAAACCUUAAA